AACGAACGCUGGCGGCAGGCCUAACACAUGCAAGUCGAGCGCCCCGCAAGGGGAGCGGCGGACGGGUGAGUAACGCGUGGGAACGUACCCUUUGCUACGGAAUAGCCUCGGGAAACUGGGAGUAAUACCGUAUGUGUCCUUCGGGAGAAAGAUUUAUCGGCAAGGGAUCGGCCCGCGUUGGAUUAGGUAGUUGGUGGGGUAAUGGCCUACCACGCCGACGAUCCAUAGCUGGUUUGAGAGGAUGAUCAGCCACACUGGGACUGAGACACGGCCCAGACUCCUACGGGAAGCAGCAGUGGGGAAUCUUAGACAAUGGGCGCAAGCCUGAUCUAGCCAUGCCGCGUGAGCGAUGAAGGCCUUAGGGUUGUAAAGCUCUUUCAGGGGGGAAGAUAAUGACUGUACCCCCAGAAGAAGCCCCGGCUAACUCCGUG
This 431-nucleotide ribosomal RNA is filed under the name uncultured bacterium. RNAcentral describes it as "partial 16S ribosomal RNA". It matches the Rfam family "Bacterial small subunit ribosomal RNA", at positions 29 to 507 of the family's 1533-position model. The record is from RNAcentral.